Molecule: long non-coding RNA, 167 nt
Organism: Brienomyrus brachyistius
Lineage: Eukaryota; Metazoa; Chordata; Actinopteri; Osteoglossiformes; Mormyridae
Exons: 3
Source: RefSeq, a predicted model, not a curated record
GAGAGAGACGUAAACGUGAACGACACAUCUGUUGAUGUCACGCCAAAUUUGCCACGAGACGCAUUUGAUGGGGAUACAACUGCCAGCUCACCCGAAGAGAGUGAAGCUGAUGGUGAUGAAGAAGAGAUCCCCCAAACCCAGCAGGCCUCAACUGGCGAGGCUUAAAG